UUUUCGUUUUCUUAUUGUUACUUUCCCUUUCGAAAUAGGGUUUCUUUCAACUUUUCCUUUCAACAAUUAGGGUUUCUUUCUACUUUCCCUUUUGAAAAGCUCAAUCACUGUCACCACCCAGAGGUAGAGGAAAGAUACACCAUCAUUCGCCGUUGAUCGCUCUGGUCCAACCUCUUGUUCGCCGUGUCGUCUUCGUCGCACCGCUGUCAUCUUCGUCACGCCACCAUCGUCCAACCAAGACAAGUCUUCCAGGGAAGAGAUAGAGAGCAUUGUCGGAGCAAGUGAUGGACCGAGCAGAAAAUUGAAGCACAAAAUUUGCGUUCGUAGAGUUACAAGUGUAUGCUGAGAAAAUUACACAUACUUACAGAGAUAGAGAAAGAGAGAGAUAGAGAGAGAUAUAUAAAUAGAUAGAGAAGCAUUAGUGGCGGUUUCUUCCCCAUUAAUAUAAAUGGAUUCAGAUUACCAACGAAGGUUUUGGGACUUGGAGAUAUCGAGGGCAAAGGUUAAUUGUAGAUCGAACUUUUGGAAAGCCGUAUCAGAUAUUAAGUUCAAGCUGACUCCAGCCCAAAUAAAAAAGUUCGAGGAUAGCUGUUUUGGCCACUUUUUGAAGACCAACGAGAUACAAUUUAGUGGCCACAUCAUCAACAGCAUGUUGUAUAGGUAGUGUGUUUGCGACGACAAGGAUUCUAUGGUAUUCAAUUUUGGAGGGCAUGGUGCUAGAUUUACGUGGAGAGACGUCAACAUAAUUACAGGUCUACGGUUUGGUUAAGAACCUAAUAGGCGAGUUAACAUCUCUACUCGUAUUAGUGACAUAUAUUUUGGCAGAAAGCGAAAGGUCACUAACUCGGAGAUGACCGUAGCUUUCAUGACCACACAGUGUCAAGGUGAUGAUGAAGCCGACGAUGAUAGAUUGAAGUUGGCUUUAUUAUAUUUCCAAGAGACAGUUCUUCUAGGCAAAGAAAGCAUGGCCAUCGCACCUCAUAAUCACUUGGAGAUGGUGGACGAUUUAGAGUACUUCAAUAACUAUCCAUGGGGUACUUUAUCAUAUACUACCACCAUUAGAUAGUUGAAUAGUGCUUUUGAGCAUAGAGAGUCCAUGGCUUUAAACAAGUCAAAGGGUUAUAGUCUUUGUGGGUUUCCUUUGGCUUUCAUGGUAAGUUUGUUACACUUGUAUUUAUGGUGUGUAUUUCUUUACUUAUUCAUUAUUAAUUAAUUGUUUGACAGAUUUGGGGUUUUAAGACAAUUCCUUCGUUAGGUCAAGCAUUGGGAAAGAAGUUGCCGGACAUGGCAUUCCCUCGAAUUCUUAAUUGGCAUAUUUCACAAGUGCUAAGAUUUAGGCUACUGAACUCUUCGAUCAUCGUGAUUAUCCCGUUCAUGGCUUAAUGAAUGUAACUGAAUUUGAGCAUGCAUAUAUCGGCAAAAUUGCAUGGGAUGUAUGUCAUGACAGUACUCCAUACAAUGUUGCACCUGCUGUCCGAGACAAGCCACCACAGGCAAGUCAUGAUGAAAAAGAUGAAGGUCUUCCACUUACAAGAGGUGGAAGAAGUAAGAAAUGAAAGAGGCAUCUGUGGAAAUUAUGGGUAAAGCAGGGAGGCGGUGAAUGGGAGAUAAGCCGACAGACCAGCCUUCAUCAUCGACUGCAGGAGUUGCUGCUCAUGUUUGUGUUAAACCAUCGACUCCAUCCCAACCUCCAAUGACUCCAUCCCAUGAUGAGGUACCUUUGAGAGAGAGAUUAACUAUCCUUGAAGGCGAAGUGGCUAAUGUACAGCAAGAUGUUAAGGAUUUAAGAAUCCCCAUGCUUAGAGAGUUUGCAAGUUUAGACACCAAGCUUGAUAAGUUAAUGAAGCACCAAGGAGUGGGAGUUGGUGCUGACGGGUUGGGAGAUGGGAUGGAAGCGGACGUUGAAGGGGAUGAAAAUAAAGAAGAGUUUGGUCCCAAUGCAACCCCCGUUGAUAGACAGUCACGUCCAUCUGUUGUAGAUGAUGCAGGACCAAGUGUUACGAUUAUCGAGAAAGUAUCUUCAUCAAAGUUUCCUGUUAGGAGACGUGCAAGAAAGGUAGCAGUUGCUAAGCAAAAUAUAGAUAUUGGGAGGUGGGAUAGGAAGGCGGCAGCAGCUAUUACAACUCCUUACAGUGUUGGAGGAUUGCGGAAAAAACUACAUCGCACUUUACCAGGUGCAUCUUCUACUUUGAAGUUUGACCCAUACACACCAGUACCCACGCGACUUGUAAAAAUUUUUGACCAAUUUAUGAAGUCCAGUUAGGCAGCAAAGUUUGAUAUGGACAUUUUGUCUACGGGUAAAGACUUUUUCCAGUUGCUUAUAACCAGUGAGAAGUAGCUGAAUCACAAUCAUAUGGAAGUCCUACCUUAUUUCAUGUACGUGCCAAUCGAUUCCCUGAUGUUUUUUAUCCUAGUUUUGAGGUGAUAGAUGGAGGAUUUUGGGUAUACAUUGAGCAGUGUUAUGGAAAGUUCCUCGCCAAUCCAUCUAAGUUCCAAUUCUCAUAUGCAAUGCAAGAAUAUGUAUUGGGGAUUUGAAUGAAGGAGUCGAAGCCAUGGAAAUGCGUAAAUCAUUUGUUGAUUCCACUAAACAAACACAACAUACAUUGGUUGGUAGGGCACGUGGACUUGAAAGAGCGUCGUAUGACUGUAUAUGACUCAGAUAAGGCUGGCAACCGAAACAGGAGAGAAAUUUAUUUCCAGAAAUUAUGCAUUAUGUUACCAUAUUUACUGCGGUCUGCAUCCUUUUAUGAGCAGCGGUCGGAUCUUGUAGACUCCGUUGAUGAGUUUACAUGUGAAUUGGCACAAAAUUCCCCUCAGCAAAGUAACGGUGAUGACUGUGGCAUGUUUACACUCAAGACCAUCGAGUUUUUACAUGCUAGAUUACCAGUGACAUUCACACAAGAUGACAUGGAGUUCUUUAGGAAGAAGUAUGCAUAUGAGGCUUACAACAAAGAACUAAGCAUAUGAGCUGGGUGGUGAUG
Molecule: long non-coding RNA, 2981 nt
Organism: Ziziphus jujuba (common jujube)
Lineage: Eukaryota; Viridiplantae; Streptophyta; Magnoliopsida; Rosales; Rhamnaceae
Exons: 9
Source: RefSeq, a predicted model, not a curated record